This 433-nucleotide long non-coding RNA is filed under the name Ananas comosus (pineapple). Its description in RNAcentral is "long non-coding RNA (ACOM_LNC010398)". Lineage: Eukaryota; Viridiplantae; Streptophyta; Magnoliopsida; Poales; Bromeliaceae. The record is from RNAcentral.
UCAUUAUAUAAAAAAAAAAUUUUAAUAUGUACCCAAUGUCACACCCCGGAUUACACGUUCCCCGGGCACACCGACAAAUCCGCCGUACACAAUUCUGUAUACGAAGCGUAGCUGUACCUGUAAAACAUACAAUACUAUAACCAGUAGUAUAGAGCUGCUAGGAAACAAAACAUAAUCAGUAGAAAAAAACAGUUCACUAUACAUACAACGUCCAGUAUACAAAAACUCGCCCAGCGAGAUACAGUAAAAGUAUGUAUAUGAACUCAAAAACUAUACUACCUGCAGCGGGUAAUCCUCUAGCUCGGCGACUCGUCGGGUAGGGCUCUAGCUCCCAACGCCCUUGUCACGAUCUGCCUCAGAAGAUGCAGCAGCCGGAACUGAAGGCUCUGCAAAAGAAGAGUAACAACUGGGCGUGAGAACUACUGUAAACACA